This 1504-nucleotide ribosomal RNA is filed under the name uncultured bacterium. Its description in RNAcentral is "bacterial SSU rRNA". It matches the Rfam family "Bacterial small subunit ribosomal RNA". The record is from RNAcentral.
AGAGUUUGAUCCUGGCUCAGAUUGAACGCUGGCGGCAGGCCUAACACAUGCAAGUCGAACGGUAGCACAGAGGAGCUUGCUCCUUGGGUGACGAGUGGCGGACGGGUGAGUAAUGUCUGGGAAACUGCCCGAUGGAGGGGGAUAACUACUGGAAACGGUAGCUAAUACCGCAUAACGUCGCAAGACCAAAGAGGGGGACCUUCGGGCCUCUUGCCAUCGGAUGUGCCCAGAUGGGAUUAGCUAGUAGGUGGGGUAACGGCUCACCUAGGCGACGAUCCCUAGCUGGUCUGAGAGGAUGACCAGCCACACUGGAACUGAGACACGGUCCAGACUCCUACGGGAGGCAGCAGUGGGGAAUAUUGCACAAUGGGCGCAAGCCUGAUGCAGCCAUGCCGCGUGUAUGAAGAAGGCCUUCGGGUUGUAAAGUACUUCCAGCGAGGAGGAAGGCGUUGUGGUUAAUAACCGCAGCGAUUGACGUUACUCGCAGAAGAAGCACCGGCUAACUCCGUGCCAGCAGCCGCGGUAAUACGGAGGGUGCAAGCGUUAAUCGGAAUUACUGGGCGUAAAGCGCACGCAGGCGGUCUGUCAAGUCGGAUGUGAAAUCCCCGGGCUCAACCUGGGAACUGCAUCCGAAACUGGCAGGCUAGAGUCUUGUAGAGGGGGGUAGAAUUCCAGGUGUAGCGGUGAAAUGCGUAGAGAUCUGGAGGAAUACCGGUGGCGAAGGCGGCCCCCUGGACAAAGACUGACGCUCACGUGCGAAAGCGUGGGGAGCAAACAGGGAUUAGAUACCCUGGUAGUCCACGCCGUAAACGAUGUCGACUUGGAGGUUGUGCCCUUGAGGCGUGGCUUCCGGAGCUAACGCGUUAAGUCGACCGCCUGGGGAGUACGGCCGCAAGGUUAAAACUCAAAUGAAUUGACGGGGGCCCGCACAAGCGGUGGAGCAUGUGGUUUAAUUCGAUGCAACGCGAAGAACCUUACCUACUCUUGACAUCCACGGAAUUUAGCAGAGAUGCUUUAGUGCCUUCGGGAACCGUGAGACAGGUGCUGCAUGGCUGUCGUCAGCUCGUGUUGUGAAAUGUUGGGUUAAGUCCCGCAACGAGCGCAACCCUUAUCCUUUGUUGCCAGCGAUUCGGUCGGGAACUCAAAGGAGACUGCCAGUGAUAAACUGGAGGAAGGUGGGGAUGACGUCAAGUCAUCAUGGCCCUUACGAGUAGGGCUACACACGUGCUACAAUGGCGCAUACAAAGAGAAGCGACCUCGCGAGAGCAAGCGGACCUCAUAAAGUGCGUCGUAGUCCGGAUUGGAGUCUGCAACUCGACUCCAUGAAGUCGGAAUCGCUAGUAAUCGUGGAUCAGAAUGCCACGGUGAAUACGUUCCCGGGCCUUGUACACACCGCCCGUCACACCAUGGGAGUGGGUUGCAAAAGAAGUAGGUAGCUUAACCUUCGGGAGGGCGCUUACCACUUUGUGAUUCAUGACUGGGGUGAAGUCGUAACAAGGUAACC